RNAcentral lists this ribosomal RNA (438 nucleotides) under uncultured bacterium. RNAcentral's name for it is "bacterial SSU rRNA". It matches the Rfam family "Bacterial small subunit ribosomal RNA", at positions 28 to 479 of the family's 1533-position model. The record is from RNAcentral.
GACGAACGCUGGCGGCGUGCCUAACACAUGCAAGUCGAACGGAGUUGUUCCUUCGGGGACAACUUAGUGGCGAACGGGUGAGUAACGCGUGAGAAACCUGCCUUUCAGUGGGGGACAACAGUUGGAAACGACUGCUAAUACCGCAUAAUGUUAUUUGGGGGCAUCCCUGAAUAACCAAAGAUUUAUUGCUGAAAGAUGGUCUCGCGUCUGAUUAGCUAGUUGGUGAGGUAACGGCUCACCAAGGCGACGAUCAGUAGCCGGUCUGAGAGGAUGAACGGCCACAUUGGGACUGAGAUACGGCCCAGACUCCUACGGGAGGCAGCAGUGGGGAAUAUUGGGCAAUGGGCGAAAGCCUGACCCAGCAACGCCGCGUGAAGGAAGAAGGCCUCGGUUGUAACGUUACUUUUACCUACGGGUACGAAGAACGUAGACGGUACC